This 72-nucleotide transfer RNA is filed under the name Notophthalmus viridescens (eastern newt). RNAcentral describes it as "tRNA-Pro". It matches the Rfam family "tRNA". From Rfam's summary of the family: Transfer RNA (tRNA) molecules are approximately 80 nucleotides in length. Lineage: Eukaryota; Metazoa; Chordata; Amphibia; Caudata; Salamandridae. The record is from RNAcentral.
CAAGAGGUAGUUUAGAGUUUAUAAUUCUGGCUUUGGGUGCCAGAGGCGAAAGUGUGAAUCUUUCCUUCUUGA